AUUGAACGCUGGCGGCAUGCCUUACACAUGCAAGUCGAACGGCAGCACGGGAGCAAUCCUGGUGGCGAGUGGCGAACGGGUGAGUAAAGUAUCGGAACGUGCCCAGUCGUGGGGGAUAACGUAGCGAAAGUUACGCUAAUACCGCAUACGAUCUAUGGAUGAAAGCGGGGGAUCGCAAGACCUCGCGCGAUUGGAGCGGCCGAUAUCAGAUUAGGUAGUUGGUGGGGUAAAGGCUCACCAAGCCGACGAUCUGUAGCUGGUCUGAGAGGACGACCAGCCACACUGGGACUGAGACACGGCCCAGACUCCUACGGGAGGCAGCAGUGGGGAAUCUUGCGCAAUGGGCGAAAGCCUGACGCAGCAACGCCGCGUGGAGGACGAAGUCCCUAGGGAUGUAAACUUCUUUUAAGGGGGAAGAAAUGGUCUGUAAAGACAGUUGACGGUACCUCUUGAAUAAGCACCGGCUAACUCCGUGCCAGCCGCCGCGGUAA
RNAcentral lists this ribosomal RNA (491 nucleotides) under uncultured bacterium. RNAcentral describes it as "partial 16S ribosomal RNA". It matches the Rfam family "Bacterial small subunit ribosomal RNA", at positions 29 to 523 of the family's 1533-position model. The record is from RNAcentral.